UCGUACUAAUGCAGGUCGGGCUGCGGUUACUUCUUUGUCCAUUUGGUUCCAAUAUUGUAGUUCGUACAGCAUGGUGAGUUUUGAAUUAUAUUCUCAGAUGAGCGUCGAUGAUGAGCCAACAGGUGUAAUGAGAUUUUGCAUUACUCCAACAUAGGGUUUAGCUUCUGGCAGUUUCUAACCACAUCAGUUAUGUAUUUGAAAGAGAUUCUGUAUCUGUUUCAUAUAAACCACGAUUGCAGCUAAUAUAUUUUCCACCAUUUUCUCUUUUGACUUGUGAGUCCUUUCGUUCAUAAAAAUAAUCUGCGUGUUUUCUUUACAUCUGUUCGGUGGUGGUUGUCUUACCUAUUUAUUCUACAUUCAAGGCCAUUGAGACGAAGGAUCAAGAUGACCAACACAAAUGGCUUGUAUACUGGGCUGCUUAUGGAUCCUUCAUUGUUGCUGAGAUCUUCACUGAUAAGCUUCUAUAUUGGUGUCCUCUCUACUACCAUUUAAAGUUUGCAUUUCUUGUCUCGCUUUAACUGCCAUCUGUUGAGUAAUCCUAACUUGCACUUUGUUGAGUCACAUGUUCUACUCUUAGAAGAUUGAGAGAGGUUGUUGAGCUACUGAAACUCAUCAAAGUUGGAGCAUGAAGGUGUUUCUGUGAAGUUUCUUUUUUUUUUCUUUUUUUUUUGAGUUAGGCUCAAAACAUUAUGUAUUAAGGUUUUGGAUGAUAAUGUAUGAAUGUUUUGUGUUAUAUAUAAUAUAUGUUAUUGAUGAUUUUAUCA
This is a long non-coding RNA of Salvia miltiorrhiza (redroot sage), 764 nucleotides long. RefSeq lists it as uncharacterized. The transcript is spliced from 4 exons. The record is from RefSeq and is a predicted model, not a curated record. Lineage: Eukaryota; Viridiplantae; Streptophyta; Magnoliopsida; Lamiales; Lamiaceae.